CCCCAGGCGGAGUGCUUAAUGCGUUAGCUGCAGCACUAAGGGGCGGAAACCCCCUAACACUUAGCACUCAUCGUUUACGGCGUGGACUACCAGGGUAUCUAAUCCUGUUUGAUCCCCACGCUUUCGCACAUCAGCGUCAGUUACAGACCAGAAAGUCGCCUUCGCCACUGGUGUUCCUCCAUAUCUCUGCGCAUUUCACCGCUACACAUGGAAUUCCACUUUCCUCCUCUGCACUCAAGUUUUCCAGUUUCCAAUGACCCUCCACGGUUGAGCCGUGGGCUUUCACAUCAGACUUAAAAAACCGCCUACGCGCGCUUUACGCCCAAUAAUUCCGGAUAACGCUUGCCACCUACGUAUUACCGCGGCUGCUGGCACGUAGUUAGCCGUGGCUUUCUGAUUAGGUACCGUCAAGAUGUGCACAGUUACUUACACAUAUGUUCUUCCCUAAUAACAGAGUUUUACGAUCCGAAGACCUUCAUCACUCACGCGGCGUUGCU
Molecule: ribosomal RNA, 497 nt
Filed under: uncultured Staphylococcus sp.
Lineage: Bacteria; Bacillati; Bacillota; Bacilli; Caryophanales; Staphylococcaceae
Description: partial 16S ribosomal RNA
Source: RNAcentral